This 317-nucleotide ribosomal RNA is filed under the name uncultured bacterium. RNAcentral describes it as "bacterial SSU rRNA". It matches the Rfam family "Bacterial small subunit ribosomal RNA", at positions 28 to 334 of the family's 1533-position model. The record is from RNAcentral.
GAUGAACGCUAGCGACAGGCCUAACACAUGCAAGUCGAGGGGCAUCGGGGGUGGAAGCUUGCUUCCGCCUGCCGGCGACCGGCGCACGGGUGAGUAACGCGUAUGCAACCUGCCCGGACCAGCGGGAUAACCCGGGGAAACCCGGCCUAAUACCGCACGGCGCCGCCGAGGGGCAUCCCCUGGCGGCUAAAGAAUCCUCGGGUCCGGAUGGGCAUGCGUGGCAUUAGCUUGUUGGCGGGGUAACGGCCCACCAAGGCGACGAUGCCUAGGGGUUCUGAGAGGAAGGUCCCCCACACUGGUACUGAGACACGGACCAG